Molecule: ribosomal RNA, 429 nt
Filed under: Bacteroidota bacterium
Lineage: Bacteria; Pseudomonadati; Bacteroidota
Description: Bacteroidetes bacterium partial 16S ribosomal RNA
Rfam family: Bacterial small subunit ribosomal RNA
Source: RNAcentral
UAGGGAAUCUUCCGCAAUGGACGCAAGUCUGACGGAGCAACGCCGCGUGAGUGAAGAAGGAUUUCGGUUCGUAAAACUCUGUUGUUAGAGAAGAACAGCGCAUAGAGUAACUGUUAUGCGUGUGACGGUAUCUAACCAGAAAGCCACGGCUAACUACGUGCCAGCAGCCGCGGUAAUACGUAGGUGGCAAGCGUUGUUCGGAUUUAUUGGGCGUAAAGCGAGCGCAGGCGGUCAAUUAAGUCUGAUGUGAAAGCCCCCGGCUCAACCGGGGAGGGUCAUUGGAAACUGGUUGACUUGAGUGCAGAAGAGGAGGGUGGAAUUCCAGGUGUAGCGGUGAAAUGCGUAGAUAUAUGGAGGAACACCAGUGGCGAAGGCGACUCUCUGGUCUGUAACUGACGCUGAGGCUCGAAAGCGUGGGUAGCAAACAGG